Molecule: ribosomal RNA, 440 nt
Filed under: uncultured bacterium
Lineage: Bacteria
Description: partial 16S ribosomal RNA
Rfam family: Bacterial small subunit ribosomal RNA
Source: RNAcentral
CCUACGGGUGGCAGCAGUGGGGAAUAUUGCACAAUGGGGGAAACCCUGAUGCAGCGACGCCGCGUGAAGGAAGAAGUAUUUCGGUAUGUAAACUUCUAUCAGCAGGGAAGAAAAUGACGGUACCUGUCUAAGAAGCCCCGGCUAACUCCGUGCCAGCAACCGCGGUAAUACGUAGGGGGCAAGCGUGAUGCGGUUUUACUGGGGGUAAAGGGAGCGUAGACGGCAUGGCAAGUCUGGUGUGAAAGGCAGGGGCUGAACCCCUGGACUGCAUUGGAUACUGGAAGGCUGGAGUGCAGGAGAGGUAAGUGGAAUUCCUAGUGGAGCGGUGAAAUGCGUAGAGAUUAGGAGGAACACCAGUGGCGAAGGCGACUUACUGGACUGUAACUGACGUUGAGGCUCGAAAGCGUGGGGAGCAAACAGGAUUAGAUACCCGAGUAGUC